RNAcentral lists this unclassified non-coding RNA (6376 nucleotides) under Harpegnathos saltator (Jerdon's jumping ant). RNAcentral describes it as "synaptotagmin-4, transcript variant X1". The record is from RNAcentral. Lineage: Eukaryota; Metazoa; Arthropoda; Insecta; Hymenoptera; Formicidae.
UCUCGGGCUAUUGAUCCGCGCGCGUUUCGGCCGACGUAGACGAUCGGCGUAGAGUGCCGCGGACGACGGGCCGCACGCCGCCCGUAAAUAUUCCUUCAGUGCGCCGUGACCGACAGACUUACGCGAAUAAAGCGUCCUUUUAGCGACAGCAGGCAGUGGCAGCAGCAGCAGCAGCAGCAGCGGUAGCAACAGCGGUAGCAACAGCAACAGCAACAGCAACAGCAACAGCAGCGCAGCUGAAGAUGGUCAGCGGAGUGACGGAGGGUGGACCUCUGAUUCGACCCGUCGAGCCUGUCUCGACGGCGACGCUGGUGACGCUAUGCAUCGGCGCCGCUUUCCUACUUUGCGCCGUCGCGAUGACCUGGUGGCUCUGCCGACGACGUCGCGAGCACACCAAGCUAAGCUCCGACAAGUCCCUGGCGUUCAGACCGCCGCACCGGAAGCCCACGGCGGUUAAGAGCCCCGGUAGCACGAGCCACUACUUGAAGAAGAGCCCGUCGCCGACAGGGCCGGCCAAGAGUCCACCUGGCUCCGGCGGCCAGACGCCGAGCCCGACGGGGUCGCAGUCCUCGAACCCGACGUCGCAGCCCCGAACGCCGCAGAGCGCAGGCACACCGGUGCAAACACCACCUGUCGAGGUGGCCGUGAGCAUAGAAAACGAGCGCGACAAGGCCGAGCUGGAGAACAACGAGAAGGUGGAGCGCGAGAAGAGCCAGACAGCCGAGAACGACAAGGACAACCUGGGCCAGCUGGUGUUCAAGCUGCGCUACCGCAGCGAGCAGAACGCGCUCGCCGUCACGGUGGUGAAGUGUAAGGGACUGCCCGCCAGGGGCCAGCAGAAUGCCACCAGCGACCCUUACGUGAAGCUGCAGUUGUUGCCCGAUAAGCAGCACCACGUGAAAACCAGAGUGCUGAGGAACACGAGGGACCCGGUGUACGACGAGGAUUUCACGUUCUUCGGCAUAUCGCAGAGUCAGCUUCAGAAAAUCAGCUUGCACUUCAUCGUGCUGAGCUUCGACAGAUACUCGCGCGACGACAUCAUCGGUGAACUGACGUGCGCCCUGUCAUCGGUACCCGGCCUGGAGGACGCGGACAAUCAAGAGAUAUCUCUCUGUCGGAAAAUAUGCCCCAGGAGUCUGAAGAUCCAGUCACAAGGCAGAGGAGAGUUGCUGGUAUCUCUGUGCUGGCAGCCAGUCACCAGCCGGCUCACGGUGGUGGUGCUGAAAGCGCGUAACCUGCCGAAGAUGGACGUGACCGGGCUGGCAGAUCCGUACGUGAAGAUCUACCUUCUGUACAAUCAGCAGCGCAUCGCCAAGAAGAAGACGCACGUGAAGAAACGCACGCUCAGCCCAGUGUUCAACGAGUCAUUCGUCUUCGACAUACCGAACGGCGCGGACGGGCUCAACAACGUCAGCCUGGAGUUCAUGCUUCUCGAUUGGGACCGAGUCACGAAGAACGAGGUGAUUGGCCGACUCGAGUUCGGCGGACCAAAGUGUCAAGGCUCCGCUGUGAACCAUUGGAAGGAGGUGUGCAGCUCACCGCGACGACAGAUAGCCGACUGGCACAAAUUGCGGGAGUAACCAGUCUCUCCCUGUCACUCACUCACUCACUCACUCACUCACUCAUUCACCCUCUUUCUCUCCUCCUCUCCCCUCCUCUCUCUCUCUCUCUCUCUCUCUCACUCACUCUGGCCCUAUCGUAUCAGCCCGAGCCCCGUCUCUGAUUUCCCUAAAUCCCCAUAUCGUUCUCUGCUGUGAAACCACCGAUCCGACCCUUGAAACCCUACGACGAGGUAGGGCGUCUGUUUUGUAAACCUAAUACUCGGUGUAUAUUAGGCUUUGAAGCGAACGGCUCGUCCACCCAUGAUCGCUGUCACCGUGCGGCGGGAGAUUGAGGGCGAGAUUCAUCGGCGCUAGGAUCGGCGUUGAGUUACUCGUGAAUCUUACGUUCAGUCCGAAUGAGACUUGAAGCGAGCAUCGUUCCGAGAAAACGGUAAACGGAUCGGCCGUCGUCGAUGAGUCGACCGAUGCGCGGCCGCGAGCGGCGAGCGAGGCUGAUCAAAGGGGGACGUAAUGACGAGCGAUUGCGGUGUGUGACAGCUUGCAAGAUGCUUUAGGAUAUAAAUAUAGUCGUUAAGAUUCCCGACCAGCUGACGUAACGAGACCACGGACGAGGAGUUUCGGAAUUGCGUGCGAGAAGCGACCGGCUUUCCGAUUGUUAGGCGUCGCGUCAUACUCGUGAGACGGAAGUGAGGCGAACCGCCUCAGGAUUCGCGUCGGGAUUCGCUUGGAAUCCGGCAUCGGCGUCCGGCCGAAUCCGCUUCGUUUCAUUCGUAUGAUUGAUCGCGCUCGCCAGCGCCGGGCGAGCUCUCGUCGAGAGGCGUGCGUAUUAUUGUGGCAGUGGCGUAACUAUGAGCUUUCGUUGUUUCUCUCGAUUCUCUCGGGAACGGGCUCGAGGAAGCCCGUUCCCUCUUCCGCCGCCUCAGUGGCAAUUAAUGCAAAAGGAAAGAGAAAGAAAGAAAGAGGAGGACACCGAAGGAGGGCAAAAUAAGGGCAAGUUUAACGUACGCAAACGUUCACGUCUGACUGAGACAUUCACGUGAGAAGGUUUAUAUUUUCCUAAGGUUUAUAAAUUUUAUACUCUGUGAAAUCUUCUUUUUUUCACUCAUUGGAUUCCCUUCAGGCCCCCGUAAGCGUCGGAGACACUCGAGCAUCGCUUUGCUGCGCUUCAUGUGUAAUAGUUACGCCACUUAGUUUAGCGACACACAAUGUGGGAAUUGCGACGAGCUGAUGAAUUGAAUGCGUCGUUGAAUGCGAGUCGCGAGCGAGCAAGUGCAAUGCGUCGUCGUCGUCGUCGUCGUCGUCGUCGUCGUCGUCACGGAGAGACCGAAAGUUCAAGACUCGUAUCUUCGUCUACGUCUAUCUAACACUAAACGCGACACUAUCUUCAAGUUUCAAGUAUCCGUUUACAUCGUGUGUAAUAUACUAACGCAUUAAGACUUAGAGAAUUGCAGAAUCGAAUCCGCGAUUGCGACGCGUCGCAAAGGGAAUAAUACGCCGGAAGGGAAGAAGCCGCGUGGUUCCGUCGAUAAUUGUCCCGCGAUUAUCGCAAUGAACGAAGGGUGUGUGCUGUCGUUUUUAAGAGUAGCUGGACUACGAGUUCUAAUCUCGACCCGCAUCGCGAUUGUACAUAUGUAGUAGACGUGAAAGGCGGCGAGUUUACUUGAUUCUUACGUAAUCGGUGAGAAACGAGAUCGGAUCGACGCGCGAUAUAACGUUACGCGCGUAACGCGAGCGGCACGUAUCGUAUGUGCGUCGCAAGUAUGAUGGUUGGAGAAGGGGGGGAGGGAGGGGGGCACGAGAUACACUCCAUCCGCGCUCGCCUCGAUUUGAUAUAGGCAACUUCGAACAGACCGCAAAUCGCAAAAAAACGUUACAAAUUAACUUUUGUCCUUUUAUCGUAACGCUACCGUCGGCAUGCUUCUCGCGUUGCACCCUGACCCUUCUCGCUGAUGCUACUGUGCCGACGAAGACCGAUGAACGUCCAAAUCGGAUUGCGGAUCGCGAGACAGCGCGUGACAUUCGUUUCGACAACGUGAAAGUCAAUAAUCAGCAACGCAUAAUUAACGAAUGCUUAUUUUUUUAUCGCAAUCCACCGCUCUCCACAGUGCGAGACUCGCCCAAACUGCGGGACAAGGAAAAUUUUGUCUCACGAUCAGACGUGUAAAUAUGAGUACAGCAUUCCAUUCCUCUCACGCAGGGUGCGUUUCAAAACUCUAGACGAAGAGCAAGCCACUCGAUGGAGCUUACAAGACAGCGAACGAACAGUUUCAAUUACGAUAGAAUAAUUGUUUUGAGCAAUAAGAAAAGUUGAGGAUUGUUUCAACUGGCGGUGGCAAGUUCUAAUAAAUAUAGGUCCGUAAUCGCACAUUCGAGAUGCUUACAACGUACACACAUAUUUGCAGCAUCUUUUCAAUAUCGUUUACUUUCUAUAGAAUUUCACGAGGCAAAUUUGGCGGAAAUUUCUACAGUUGGACGAUCCUCGUUACCGCCCGUUUCCUCUCUUCUGUUGCGCUUUAUAUCGGUCGGAGAAGAAACAGCUGACACACCGGCGAUGUUUGAUGCAACGUGUACACUGAAAAACAAAAUGAUUUCGACAGCUUUCUCUCUUUGCAAACAUUAAUAACUAGUCUAGUUGUGAAAUUUGAGAAUCAGUACUUAAGGAUAAUUGAGGGGGUUAGAGAGACCAGCGAUUUUUUUAGUUCGCGCAGUUUGGUUCAGUAGUGAUUCUCAACUGUAGCAGUAAUUCACAACUGCACGGAUUACUACACGGAGAAAACACGGAAAAACCGUCGAGACCGUUUCGCUUUCCAGUGUUAACGUUAACUCGUUAAUCUCGACUUAAAAACCACCGGUACUUCUCAUCGCGACAAUCCGUCGUUGAUCGAUCCUUGUUUCGGGGGAGUAGAAUACGGCCGUAUGCCCACGAGGAACGCGGCGUGCGAGUCUCAGCUUUACGAUGAUUCCGAUCUGAGCUCGCUGCGACGCCCAGGAACGGCAAAAUCGGCGUCCGUAUCGAAAACCGCAAAACGGCGCUCUCGGUCGGCUCGGUCGGUGCUUUAACUCGACGCCGCGCGGCGUCGCCCGCACGUGACUGCCACCAAGUUCACGCGACCGCGCGAGUAAACAGAAACACUGGGGUGAGUGGAGUACGGCCUUGCCCCCACUCCCGAGGCCACCUCCAGCUGGCCUCCGGACCGCGCGCGGUCCUUCACCCGUUGCCCGCUCGCGCGAUAUCCAGAGCGCCACCUAGCGCUGACGAUCGCUACUGCUAAAUGCGCAGAAAGUUCCAAGGGCCAUUAUUCGGCGAGGAGUCGACUUGGAGACGCGCAACAAAAGCCGAUCGGUUCGGCUAGAGCAUCAUGUUGAUAAUCUUUUCUUAUUGCUGACUGAGGGAAUACUUUAGAAGCGGCAAACAACAUCAAAAUCUGAUGCGGCGAAAUUCCUGCACCCUGCGACCCUGCACCCUGAAAUUUGUAUCGCGUCAUUCAACUGAGAUGUUCGCGCGCGCAAACAACGAUAAACGAAUGUCCACGUAGAUUGAAUGAGUCUCAGACUGUACGCUACAUCCUCCCAUCGUCCGUAACUUCGUAACGAGAAAGGACGAGGCGCGAGGGGACCGCGAUGCGCGCGCGGGAAGAUGAUCGCGCGGGAAGAUGAUCACGCGUGAAACACCAUGCAGGCGCAGGACUGCGAUCCUCGCGAGGACGAGAUUUGCGAGAAGCGGACGGCGCACGUGAAGAACGUAAUCGGAUUGCGUGACCGAAAGUAUGACAGAAAAAGUCGCAAUAUAUCACACGAAGACUCAAGAGAUAUACACCGAAUAAGUUUUACGUACGUUUAAGAUAGCGGACACGACACGCGUCGCCGUCCUACACGCGGCGACCCACUGAAGAAAAAAGAAAAAAAAAAAAGAAAAAAAAAAGAACAAACGGCAAUUACACGAUCGAGAAUUUCAGGAUAUUUAUUUAAUUGCUAUACACAAUUACAAAUACAAUUACCUAUACAUAUAUACAUAUACACGUAAGAAACGACUAUAAUAAUAAGUAGCACGUAGCGAUACAUUACAACGUACAUCCGUCUGUCGUGCUCGUGGAUUCUGGACAAGACUGCGACAGGAUUGCCGGGGUGAAUACGGACAUCGAGGUAGAUGAUGAUCCCCUCCCAGCAUUUUGGGGGAUUAACGAAGAGGAUUACCCGAGAUCCGCAGACAACGCUGUAACAUAACGAUCGUCGACACGAAAUGCUCGAAAACCAUCGUUCUUGUUAUUAAUUCGUUUACUUCAUUUGCUCGAGACCUUCUGGUAGUAUCUUCUCACUGUAGCCACAUAUAUUGUUCUGCGAGGAUCACGAGGACGGGCUCUUACCUGGCUGGACGACGAGUCAGCUUGCAAUUAGGUCGAAGAGAGGACUCUGACAAAUUUCGGCGCCGUGUUGAUCACUAGGAGGACAGUGUUGCCCGACAGUAUUUUCAAGUCAUUGACAAGUUACCAUGCAACGACAGCAAUUUGAUUCAACAUUAUAACGUAGUUAAUUCAAUAUUAUUAUUAUUAUUAUUAUUAUUAUUAAUUUAACGCUGUUAUAACGUGUAUUAUGGCCGCCUGCCGGUGCCUGUAUAUGAUAAUUUCGGCACAUUAUACAUACAUACACACAGUGCAAGGUCAUACUUUUGUGUUACAUCGAGUUAAUAAAGUACCGGUGUUUUUUAAGCAUUCGUAAGCAUUAUAUUAUUAGGCUAAAGGAUGCGGCGGCGUACGAGGAAAUGCUGUGCGUGAGCAGAUUUUAAGGCUGUGUGGUCAAUAAAACGCUGAAAUAAA